This 235-nucleotide ribosomal RNA is filed under the name uncultured bacterium. RNAcentral describes it as "partial 16S ribosomal RNA". It matches the Rfam family "Bacterial small subunit ribosomal RNA", at positions 96 to 334 of the family's 1533-position model. The record is from RNAcentral.
UGGCGGACGGGUGAGUAAUGUCUGGGAAACUGCCUGAUGGAGGGGGAUAACUACUGGAAACGGUAGCUAAUACCGCAUAACGUCGCAAGACCAAAGAGGGGGACCUUAGGGCCUCUUGCCAUCGGAUGUGCCCAGAUGGGAUUAGCUAGUAGGUGGGGUAACGGCUCACCUAGGCGACGAUCCCUAGCUGGUCUGAGAGGAUGACCGGCCACACUGGAACUGAGACACGGUCCAG